Molecule: unclassified non-coding RNA, 332 nt
Filed under: plant metagenome
Description: partial contains 5.8S ribosomal RNA, internal transcribed spacer 2, and large subunit ribosomal RNA
Source: RNAcentral
GGAGCGCGGUCAGGUUCUGGCCAAGCCGGGCUCGAUCAAGCCGUUUAAGAAGUUCAAGGGCGAAGUUUACGUGCUGAGCAAGGAUGAGGGCGGCCGUCACACGCCGUUCUUCAAUGGCUACCGUCCGCAGUUCUACUUCCGCACCACGGACGUGACGGGUGUGGCGAAGCUCCCCGCCGGCUCCGAGAUGGUGAUGCCGGGCGACAACGUGCAGCUCGAGAUUGAGCUGAUCACGCCGGUCGCCAUGGACAAAGGUCUGCGCUUCGCUAUCCGCGAAGGCGGCCGCACGGUUGGCGCAGGCACGGUGUCGGAAAUCAUCGAGUAGGUUCGGA